This 2344-nucleotide long non-coding RNA is filed under the name Anthonomus grandis grandis. RNAcentral describes it as "uncharacterized LOC126734062". Lineage: Eukaryota; Metazoa; Arthropoda; Insecta; Coleoptera; Curculionidae. The record is from RNAcentral.
GAUAGCUCGUUGAAAAGGGAAUAAAAAAAAGAAUAUGACUAACUAUUUACUUUCGCGAUUUGAUUAGGUAGGAAGCUAGAAAGAAAUAAAAAUCGAAUUUUUCGACAAAGUUAUUUUAUUCUAAGUAUUGUUGGAAAUAUUGCCCAUAUUAUCUUGAUAAAAUCUUAAUCUAAAAUAAAAUUCAUUUUUUGACAUUACGAAUCAUAUCUGGAAUUAUUAAGUCGUUGCCUAAGUUUAAUUUUUUAGUCUUGUUAUGUAAACUUUCGUUUUUAGGUGACACCAAAGGAAAUAAUGCAGAGGAUUAAGGUCCGGUGAUCUUGGCGCUUAUUCAAUGGUACCUCUUCUUCCUUCCUAUCCAGCGGUUUGGAAAAACUUCACUUAAAUAGUGUCGCACGUUUUAGGCGUAAUGAGGCGAAGCCCCAUCCUGCUGAAACCAUAUUCCAUCAUCAUGAAGAUCUGCUUCUGUUUGAUAAGGAAAUAAAGCAGUCAAAGCCGGCAUAAGCUCUUGUUGCAAAAAAUUCAAAUAUGUAGUGCUAUUUAAGUUAGCUGGAAGGUAUAUUGGGCCAAUGACUUGGUCGCCAAUUAUGCCUGCCCAAACAUUAAGUUUUUGCUGACGCUGAGUAUGUUUUUCUCGUAUCUCGGUUUUCUGUGGACCAAUAUCGAUAGUUCUGUUUAUUGACUUCACCAUUGAAUGCAAAAGUACACUCAUCUGUAAAAAGUAUCCAAUCCAAAUCUCCUAUUGGAGAAAAAUUCUCCAAAUCUCCUAAAAGAGCCUGAUGGAGGCCUAUAUAAGGUUAAUAAAUAUAUCUUGUAUUUGGCAAUAUACACUCAGCAUGGAACAAUUUGUUCCUGAAUGGACAGAUCUUUUACCUUAUGAAACUCUUUAAAAAGCAUAUUUUUAUUUAUUAAAAUAGCAACUCUCCCGCCCUUACAGUUUUUUCGGAAGAAGGCAGAUGCUGGCAAAAGAUUGGAGAUUCUUAAAGACCUGCAUUCCUGAUCAGCCAGACAAAGUAGAUCCGGCCCAAUCCCCGUCAUGAAAGCCUCCAGCUCAUUAAUCUUAUUUUUUUAUUGACAAAACAUUAAUAAAUAAAAGCUUAAAACUAAAUUCAGAAUAAAAUGCAUUGGUACAAUUUAUGCUAUUUUUUCUUGAGCAGAACUUACUUUUUUCCAAUGAUAAGCCUCCAUAAACCUCAUUUAAAGCUGGUUUGAUAGAUUGGGGCACUGCACUGGGUUUAUAAAAUGGUUAAUUAGUACACCAUUUGGCCAAAGUUCAGCGUUCAUGAAAGCAACCUUGUGAUCUGUAGGAGAUCCCACCUUAAAUGAACUACCGUGGUUGUCUUUCUUGGUUCACAGCUUAUAGCACUGAAUUUGUAACUUGUAACUUUCAUUUGUAACUUGUAAUUGGUCUAAAUAUUGCCCGACAGUCUUGGCUUCUUUCUUGGAUAGAGACCCGAUAUAAAUAUCCACUCCACCGGGCAUGAAAUUGUGGCUUUUGGGGUGCAGUCAUUACUUCUGCCUAAUUUUGGGACGGGCCUAGUUUCCUUUAAGGGCUCUUCUUGAUUUUGUUUGUUUGUUGUUGCAUCAUCAUUAGUUAAGGUAAAUACUUCAUCUGUCUCUUCUUCUUGUGCCACCGCGUUUACCAAGGUGCUUACUUGAAAAGUACGGGAUUGAGUAGCCACGCUACGUUAAUUUUGUGUCGCUACAGUGACGUCAGUUGUGGGUGGUUAUCGCGAUCUCUGUGUUUAGAAGAACGAAGUGUACACACUGGAUUGACUGCUUUUUUUUGUAUGUUAGUAGUUUCCUGCGCGACAGGAUUAUCCGUGAUCUGUGUUAUUUUUGACUGUGGGAACUAUGAAAGGAUUUUGACAUUGUUUACGAUAGAGAGUUUUGUUAUUGGAAUUUUCAUACCUUGAUAGUUUUUCUCAAAGCAGAGCAAUUUUCCUCCAAUAGCCUGUUUUGCUUUCAAGCUCUUGAUUUAGCUUUUUUAGUUAGGAAAUUUCUAUAUCUUUCAACUCUACCUGCUGGUCAUUCUAAUUAGUUGUUUUAGUUGUCAUGGCGGCUCGAUCUUUAUCGUGGCAAUCAAAACAGUUAAGUCUCGUUUUAGUAACAAGUCGUCGUUAAUAACAAGAACUGAACUGUUCAAGCUGAAAAGACAAAUGACCAUUGCGCUUUGCUUAAAAAUAGCCAGUUUGCAUCUGGUUUUUUAUCAGAUGCAGAUAUUUUUUAAUCAGAUGUACAGAAUUACUCCAGAAUAUCACAAUUAUUUCAAGGGACAGGAUACAAAAAAGUUAUUAGAAAAGCGGAGCAUUCUGAAGUUAUAAUAGCAUUAUAUAACUAGGUUUUG